AAAAACUACAAACAUGGCAGAUACACAAGACUGAUGUUAAUAUAAAGGAGGUUUGAGUGAUUAAUAAUCAAUAUCAACCUGAUGAAACAUUAUUUCUUUAAUAUUAUCCACAUUAUGUUUCAUCUGCAACAACAUUGUAACAUUUUAUGAGAAACCAUAGAUAUGUAGAUGUAGAUUCGACUGCUUCAGAUACAUCGAUGCAUCCGCCACCUUGGAACAGUCAACAUGUCACUCAAAGUAAAAGAUGCACAGCCUCUGGUUGUAAAAACCGCAGAGAUUUAAACUCCAGAAGAAAUGGGAUAAACUUUCACAGGUGAGAAUGAGUUGAUUUGUGUUUUGAUAACUCAAUCAUUCAUCACGGUCAGGAGCUCAUGUGCCCUGAAAUUAUUGGAUGUUAAGGAAAACACUGCAGUGUAAGUUCAUUUAACAUAUAAUUUGUGUAAAAUAUAAAGUGUUGCACAUUUUAUUGGUACAGAGGUGGUUAUGUGUAUUUUGUAAAAACGUUAGCAACUUCUUUUUAUCAUUUACUUAGAAGCACCACAAUUAAAUUAUCCUUCAUAGGGACUACAGAACAGAUACUUUGAACACACUGAACAACAGUUAGACAGAAAACAAACCCAUCCUUCAUGUUUCCAGAAGUGUGUUUGUUAAACUCGUACCACAUUCUGGUGCCUGUGUCACUGCAGAGGUCAAACUAGAGGUCAAACUAGAGGUCACAGCUGCAGUAGUUGGUCC
This is a long non-coding RNA of Cyprinus carpio carpio, 735 nucleotides long. The record is from Ensembl. NCBI's taxonomy places the organism in Eukaryota, Metazoa, Chordata, Actinopteri, Cypriniformes, Cyprinidae.